GUGGACAAGAGGCACCACAGCUUCUUAUCCGCCGAGCACCAGACGGAGCUAGGAGUGUUUCGACCACAGGGCCCUGUAGAGCUGCUUACGAUCGACGAGCGAUGGAAGCAUAGGUUGGCAGUGGCAGGACUCCUACCCCUUUGCCGUUUGGUUGAGGCUCGAUCGACGGAGAACCCCCGAGGCAGUGGCGCGUCAUUUCUACUUUGACUAGUCGCUGAUAGCAGCCCUGGUCGACCGAUGGAGGCCAGAGACACAUACGUUCCAUCUCUCGUGCGGUGAGAUGACCCUGACCUUACAGGGCGUAGCCUACCUCUUAGGCCUACCUUGCGCGGGAGCUGCGGUUUGGGUCAUCGAUAUGGAUGCUGACUGGAUAAACGUCAUGCAUCAGCGCUUUGGCCUGGUUGAGCGGAAGGCAGACGCACCCCCCUACGUGCCUGAGUUUUUGUCCGAUGCACGAGGGCCAACGAAGAAGUGGAUCCUACAGUUUCAGUCGGCGUACAUACACUCCGAGGCCAACGCAUACUCAGUCUCCAGGCAUUUGGAUACCUAUCUGCUUUGGUUGUUUGGGUGGGUUAUGUUCACCAGCGGUCAAGGCCACCUGGUUGUGAGGACGCUUGUGCCGUACGUCAGGUUGAUAGCGGAUGCUGAUGUCGAGGAGGUACCGCAGUUCAGUUAGGCAUCUGCUAUCCUUGCUGCGACGUAUCGGGCGCUUUGCGACGCGUGCACAAAGAAAGAGCCAUUAGCCACUUUUGCCGGGUGUCCACUUCUUCUGCAGCUGUGGUCCUACGAGCGUUUCGCUAUAGGCAGGCCAAUGGUGGACCGCUCCUUGUACCCCGAGGAAUG
Long non-coding RNA from Phragmites australis (common reed), 843 nucleotides. RefSeq lists it as uncharacterized. Lineage: Eukaryota; Viridiplantae; Streptophyta; Magnoliopsida; Poales; Poaceae. The transcript is spliced from 3 exons. The record is from RefSeq and is a predicted model, not a curated record.